GGAUAGCACAGUGGCAAUAUGAAUCGAGUCUUAAAAUAUGCAUCAUUUCAGAAAACACUUGCCUCUCUUAAAAAAAAAAAAACCCAAAACUAAACAACAACAACAAAAACCUCCAGGAAAAAACAAUCAGGUAUACACAAUUAACACAAGAAUAGCAAACUUCUUUGGGAAAAUGAAAUAGUUACCAAAAACAUCUCUCUUAAAGCUUCAAACAGGGUAUAUUACUUGAGGAAAAGUAUAUUCUCUGUGUACUCAGGAUGAAUUAAAAAAUCAACUGGUUUGCUCUCUUCCCACCUGAAAAGGGAAGACUGCAUUAAUAUAUGUGCUUUCCACAUCCAUAUAUGUUUUAAUAAAAGUCUACCAUCUAUGUCUUUUGUUUCAAACAUUUUGAAACAAAAUAUGUAUUGAUUCUUCAAUGAAUGAAAUCGCGCCUCAAAGUUUGGAGAAGGAAAAGCCAGUGAAAAUAAGGCCAAAAAACCAUACCACAAAAGGACAGGAAGCCUGCAGAAAUAAACAGUUCUCUUUCUGAAGCGAUGUUUUAGAAUACUGAUAUAAUUCAUGGAAACAAGAAAACAAAUACUGUUCAUCUUUAUUCAAAUUGAGUGAAUUCUGGCAACAUCAUAAUCUGGUGGCUCAGGCCAACAGAAGUGACUAGAACUUUAUGGAAAAGUACUGUUCAACAUUAAAUCUACAAACAAAGGUUUAUGGAAGAGGGAAUGUCAAAUUUAUGUAUUUUUAUUAAAUGGUGAGCUGCUCAUGUCGUCUUGCCAGUCUGAAGGCUUUAAAAGAUGGUUUUACAUCGUUGGCUAAUAAAUUACAGAUGAUUUCUAUUUUGCCAUGUCUAAAACUAGCUCUGGGCAGGUAUGAACAAGUGGUGACAUGGAAGCUGCCAGGAGGUAUCAAAAACAAGGCAUGAAUAUUCAUUUGCUAGGAAGCUAUAAUGUCUGUUCCCUAGGUGACAUACAGGACUACUCAAACCUCUUACCACACAAAGUGCACGAUCACGCAGUCCUGAAAGAUACACGUUAGGUUUAUAUUUUGUGUAACAGUUUAUGGAAAACUGAAAUGAAAAAUUAUUUUUUCUGACUAAAAAUAUAA
RNAcentral lists this long non-coding RNA (1098 nucleotides) under Pan troglodytes (chimpanzee). RNAcentral describes it as "long non-coding RNA NONPTRT011494". The record is from RNAcentral. Lineage: Eukaryota; Metazoa; Chordata; Mammalia; Primates; Hominidae.